Non-coding RNA from Sciurus carolinensis (gray squirrel), 75 nucleotides. Lineage: Eukaryota; Metazoa; Chordata; Mammalia; Rodentia; Sciuridae. The record is from the annotation of a RefSeq genome assembly.
GGUGAUAUAGCUCAGUUGGUAGAGUGCUUGCCUUACAAGCACAAGGCCCUGGGUUUGAAUCCCCCAGCACCACCA